AACUGCACCGACUGGAGUGUUUUUGAAGCUACUUUGCCCACUUCCUUGUAGACAGGGGACCAGACAAAAGGUGCUAGGGACGCUGCCACAGGGUGUCACAGAAUGCAUUUAUUCAGUAUUUGAAAUGAUUGUCUCAUGUCUACAUAGAGGUUGAACCAAUGGAGCGUUUGGGGCAUCCAACCGUGUCUGUAUGAGUCUUUAUCGGAGGAGGAAAGAAAUGUUGAGGAAGAGAUUGGAAAUGAACACUUCUGAUUGGAACGUUUUCUCUUAUACAGUACAUAUACAUUAGCUAUAAUAUUCACACUUUGGCCCAGCCACACCAACGACCAGUAGAUUAGUCAUAACUUUGUUUUCAGCAUUGUAACAAGAACAAUGUAACUACUGUGCAGCUUUGUCAACAAUGAUUUUACAAUGCUAAUUAGUAUCGUGGAUCAUAUCUGUAAUGAUGUUAUUUUCCAGAUGAUGAUGCUACUGCUGAUGAUUCCAGCCAUCUGAAGGUCAACCAUCUGUAACCUGUAAGAUCUGCAAAGCAGGAACUUUUUGACUGCAUCGACAGGAGUGUUUUUGAAGCUGCAACACUCAACCUGGACGAAGUUACUGAGGCAGGCAAGAAACUCACCGACACAGGAGGUCACAGUGGCUAAAAGAAGCUACACUGAAAAGCUUUCAACGACCACAAUUGGGUAGAGUAAGGAAAAGCUGUACUCAAGUAAAAGUAUUGUUACUUUAUAAUAAUAGUAACUCAAGUAAAAAAAAAAGUAUGGAAAGCUGUACUCAAGGAAAAGUAAACCUGAUAAACUACACUAACAGGUCGGGUUGCCAAGGCAGCAGGUGACGUGAGGGGCCUCAGGGGAAGAGUGACACACAAAACACAGAUGGAACUCUCCUAACACUCUAAUAACCAUACACACUCCAUGCCAUACAAUACAAUAUAACCAUACAAUACUCUAGCCACAGAAGCUCUCAUGCAAAUACUCCCUCUACACACACACACACAUGCAAACACAUAUACACACACACACACAUACACACACUCACACACACACACGUAAACACACACACACACACAUGCAAACACAUACACACACACACAAUGUAUACAAUUUGUCAUGGAACAAAGAGUACAAGAGAGAAAGAUGAACCUUUUAUCCGUCACAGCGCUCUAACACCAUCUAAUCUCUGUUGACGUUGUUUUGGGAAGACAGUGCACUUACAGUAACAGGCUGUUAAAGAAAGUAUUAGUAUAUUUUAUCAUGAAUGUUUUAGCUAAAAGGCUUGUUCAAAAUGUUGUGUGUAAAGUGUGUAGGUUGAUUUUGGAAAAACACUGAGUGAGUCAAGAAUGUGAAACCACGUGAUGUUUUUCUGACAGAAGCGGG
Clupea harengus (Atlantic herring) is the source of this 1376-nucleotide long non-coding RNA. The record is from Ensembl. NCBI's taxonomy places the organism in Eukaryota, Metazoa, Chordata, Actinopteri, Clupeiformes, Clupeidae.